Molecule: small nuclear RNA, 160 nt
Organism: Rattus norvegicus (Norway rat)
Lineage: Eukaryota; Metazoa; Chordata; Mammalia; Rodentia; Muridae
Product: U1 spliceosomal RNA
Source: Ensembl
GACCUAACCUAGCAGUGGAGAUAACACAAUCACCAAGGUGGUUUUCCCAGGGCGAGGCUUAUCCAUUGCACUCAGGAUGAGCUGACCCCUUCGAUUUCCCCAAAUGUGGGAAACUGGCCUGACAAAUUGAGUAAAGAGUUCUGAUUUGUUGUGUUUGAAU